GCGGAAGUGGCGGAAUUGGUAGACGCACCAGAUUUAGGUUCUGGCGCCGCAAGGUGUGCGGAGAGUUCAAGUCUCUCCUUCCGCACCA
This 88-nucleotide transfer RNA is filed under the name Vibrio harveyi. RNAcentral's name for it is "tRNA-Leu". It matches the Rfam family "tRNA". From Rfam's summary of the family: Transfer RNA (tRNA) molecules are approximately 80 nucleotides in length. Their secondary structure includes four short double-helical elements and three loops (D, anti-codon, and T loops). The record is from RNAcentral. Lineage: Bacteria; Pseudomonadati; Pseudomonadota; Gammaproteobacteria; Vibrionales; Vibrionaceae.